AGUUUUUGUUGUUGUUGUUGUGGAUCACUGAUCUUUGAUAGGAAAAAUACCCACCCUCCUCCCUACAAGUUGUUCUCAACGUUCUUUUUAAGAGACGUGGUAAAGCAAGCUUACAGGGAAAACCCAAAUGGCAGUAUCAUGAAAUUAACAUUGCCCUAAGAGGCCUAAGCAGAAACUCUAUCUUUUUUCAUACCUUCUUUAAUCCUUAGCCACACUAUCUUCUCUAGAGUUGCAGUCUCAUCUUGCCGUAGCAGCAACAUGUCCUCAAAAAAAACCUUAAGAGUCCCUGCUAACCAUGUUUUUGGUUCAUUAGGUAUGUAGUGUGUUCCCAGGCUAGGGAUCAAAUUGGAGCUAUAGCUGCCAGCCUACACCACAGCAACACAGGAUCCGAGCCACAUCUGCAACCUAUGCCAUAGCUCAAGGCAAUGCCAGAUCCUUAACCCACUGAGUGAGGCCAAGGGAUCAAACCCGCAAUCUCAUGGUUCCUAGUCAGAUUUGUUUCCGCUGCACCACAACAGGAACUCCAGAGAAAUUAAAUUUCUAGUUAACUUAAUGAAAAAGAAAAAGACACUUUCUUCUUAUGUAAUUUUCCCCAUAACUGGUUUUGGUUUUGGGUUUUUUUUUUUCUCUAUUUAACAUCAUUGGCAGCUAUGCCUUAUCUUGCCUUAGGAAGUGGAAGUGGUUGGCUUUGUUUUUGCUAUUUUUUAUGGCAACAACUAUAGCUUAUCAGAUUUCUCAUCAAAGAAAAGGUAUGGUGCAAAUGUUUUGAACAUCAUGGAAAAUGAAGGAUAAAAUACUUAGUAUCUAAACACAGUAUUAAGAAAGUUAAAUUCUCAUUUAUGGUUUUACUGUAUUCCCCCCCUUUGUUUUGGCCCUACAGAAUGUGGAAUUUCCCAGGCCAGGGAUCGAACCUGCACCACAGCCUGAACUGCUGCAGUGACAAUGCUGGAUCCUUAACCCCCUGUGCCACAAGAGAACACCUAUAUUCCCUUUGAAAUUUCCCCCAAUUUUUGCUAACAUCAGUGUUUGAGAUUUUCUUUAAUUCUCUCCAAUUAAUCCCCCAAAAUUGAUUUUUGUAUUUUACCUCUUGAUCAAAAUUUUACUCAGAUGUAUGCCAUCUACAGAGACAGGGAAUUUAAGUUUGAUUUCCCAUGGCUGGCAAAUUUCAUUAGUUUAAUUGAAUUCCUUAUUCCAUGGCUUUCAGAUGUAAUAAAAUAUAACAGAAGCUACUAUCAUUGCCACAAAUUGAGAAGUGAAAAGACAUUUUUAAGGAAAGGUGUUUUAUUUUGGCUGUUUUAAAUAAACAUGCUGUCCCAUCUUGUGGCAGCAGCUAGCAUAUUGCUCUGUACAAGGUACUCAACAAUGUCACCAGAAACUUUAAACAAAAAAAUAGAUUUUAAGUAUGAAGUGUAGAAAUUUUUAACCUGUAACUUGAAUUAAUCAUUUUCUGUACUUCAUGGCCCACUAUUGUCAUUAGUUCAUACACUGCCCUUCUUUUAUUUUUUCAUUAUGGAACCAUUCUCUUCCAUUACAAUGGGCAACUCUUUUUAAUAAGUUUGAUAAAUAUAGCUGAAAUUAUAUUUUUGAAUACUUGCAGUUUAACUUGUCUAAAUCUGCAACUGUGAUUUUAAAAUAUUGAAUUCCAUUGGUUAAAAUGAAAAUGAAUACAAACUUUAGUAUUUAUCUGUAAAAAAUAACUUCAAAGACUAAUUCAAGAACUAGCUGAUAUUCUCAUUGAUUUGCAUCCAUCCCCCCAAAAGUUUUUUUUCCUUUUGGGGAAAUAUGUGGCUUAGUGAAAAAGAAGUAUAAAUAAAUGUUAUAACUUUGCAUUUCAUUUAAAAAUGACAAGUUAUAAAUAUAAAAAAACAUUUUAUAAAUUAUAUAUGCUGUGGUUAGGUGAAGUGUUAUAUCAUAGUAAAAUUUUAUAUUUAUAUUAUUUUUGAACAUUGUGUUAGGAAAUAAAAAACUGCAACAUGUAGUAUCCAGUGAGGAGGAAAACAUCCAGUCUCACUAGAAAUAAAAGAAAUGCAAAGUAAAACUACUAGUAAUAAUAUUUCACCUAUCAAGUUGAUAAAGAUUAAAAAGAUGAAUGGUAUGGGUUUAAGGAAACAUUGUAUGAAAUAAGAAUACACUAAAGUUAGAAGUAAAAUUUGUUUUAUCCUCAAAACAGAACAGACCUGAAGAUUUCAAGGGGAAGGGGAGGGAGUGGGAUGGAGUAGGAGUUUGGGGUUGGUAGAUGCAAACUAUUUCUACAGCACAGGGAACUAUAUCCAGGCUCUUGGGAUAGACCAUGAUGGAAGAUAAUAUAAGAAAAAGAAUGUGUGUGUAUAUAUAUAUAUGCCUGGGUCAUUUUGCUGUACAGCAGAAAUUGGUACAACAUUGUAAAUCAAUUAUAUUCUAAUUUUUAAAAAUCUAAAACAAGUAAAAUUGGUUCAGUCUUUCUAGAGGAAAAUCUGGUAUCACACCUCAUGGGUAGAGACUACUAUUGCGCCUCACUUUAAAGAUAUAAAAACUGCGCAGAGAGGUAAAGUAAAAUAUUGAAAGUAUUACAGCUAGUAAGUUCCAGAGGUGAGAUUCAAACCCAUGCUUAAAGCCUGAGUUCUUAACCACCACGCUAGUGUUGAUACAUAAAAUGAAUUCAGUGGAUUGUGAACCAGAUAAAAUAGUAUACAAAUUGUUAGAAUACAUCACAGAUGGUAUGAAUGUCAUUUUAUGGAACAUUAGUUUAUAUGUACUAGGUCAAGAAAUAAAAUAUUACUCUUACUGUGGAUCACAAUCAAGGUAACAGCACUAACCCAGCCUGCUCAACUCUGUCUCAGGGCCUCUGCCUGCACUCUUGUCCCCAGAUCAUCCCCUGGCAGAUCUUCAUAGCAUUAGCUUAGCUAUAACCUCUCAGAGAUCCCAGCUCUGCCUAAUUAAUGUAUAGAAAGAACCCCCAAUCCACCCCAUCCUCCUCUCUUCCAUGACUGAUUCCCUCAUAGCUCUUAUGCUAUUUGAAAUUAUUUUAUUUGUUAUUUAACAUAUUUAUUCUCUGCCACCUCCCACUUUCUGCUUUCCCUUCCACAGGCUCACACUAAAUCAUCUCCAUGAGAGCAAAGACUGAAUAUACAAAUGCUUUGGACAGUUAUUUUGGCAUCUUUGAAGUAGAUGAGUCUCUAAAAAUGUCUAUCUAAAAUGACACUGCUAAUAAAAACUCAGUUGAUGUUUUUGCUGAAGCAGUGCAUCUUCCCAAGGAAACUUUCAUGACAAAAAUUAGUUUUGAAGAGAGAGGAUUUUGUGUAUAACAGGAACAUACUCUAUUGUCAGAAUCAA
Molecule: long non-coding RNA, 3312 nt
Filed under: Sus scrofa (pig)
Lineage: Eukaryota; Metazoa; Chordata; Mammalia; Artiodactyla; Suidae
Description: lncRNA (ENSSSCG00050067054.1)
Source: RNAcentral